CGCAAGUUCUUCUUCUAGUAUAAUCACCCAGUUCUCUUGCAAAAAUCUCAACUCUUCCCCACCCAAGUUCUUCUCUUGGGCUGUCGGAUUUCGCGACAGGGGUUGUGUGUUCAAUCGAGGACGAAGAGAACAUCGCAGAUUGUGAUUUCUAAUCAUAAAUUCAGAUGCGACGGAGUUUCUGAACUUGGUAGAUGACUCGGUUCAAGCAUAUCAAAGUCUUAUGCACGAUUUGGAUGAGUUUCUGAAGAACUAUGACAAGCUCUAGACUCAAAUCGAUGCGAUGCCCAGCCACCAUUCCCUCAAAGUUUAGCGAGAAACCCCAACAAGCGUCGUCAUCUCCACCCCUCUCUAUUGUCUCGUGCUGGUGAAAUUGGUAGAGUUGUUCAAGCGGUGCCGAUUGGAAAUACCAUAAGUAUUUUCUUGAGGUCUAGUAACACUCUUAGAUUUAGAUUUCUUAAAAGUUAAUGUUACUCAAAACCAAAUUUGAUUAAAAGAAUUAGAGCCUCUAG
This is a long non-coding RNA of Rosa chinensis, 509 nucleotides long. RefSeq lists it as uncharacterized. Lineage: Eukaryota; Viridiplantae; Streptophyta; Magnoliopsida; Rosales; Rosaceae. The record is from RefSeq and is a predicted model, not a curated record. The transcript is spliced from 4 exons.